AAGAGUUUGAUCCUGGCUCAGGAUUAACGCUGGCGGCGUGCCUAAUACAUGCAAGUCGAACGGAAACCUUCGGGUUUUAGUGGCGAACGGGUGAGUAACACGUAAGCAACCUACCCUAAAGACGAGGAUAACCAUUGGAAACAGUGGCUAAGACUGGAUAGGAAGAUAAAAGGCAUCUUUUAUCUUUUAAAAGACCUAGUAAUAGGUAUGCUUUAGGAGGGGCUUGCGCCAUAUUAGUUAGUUGGUAGGGUAAUGGCCUACCAAGACGAUGAUGUGUAGCUGGACUGAGAGGUUGAACAGCCACAUUGGGACUGAGACACGGCCCAAACUCCUACGGGAGGCAGCAGUAGGGAAUUUUCGGCAAUGGAGGAAACUCUGACCGAGCAACGCCGCGUGAAUGACGAAGUACUUCGGUAUGUAAAGUUCUUUUAUCAAGGAAGAAAAGCAAAUGGCGAACCAUUUGUUUGCCGGUACUUGAUGAAUAAGCCCCGGCUAAUUAUGUGCCAGCAGCCGCGGUAAGACAUAAGGGGCAAGUGUUAUCCGGAAUUAUUGGGCGUAAAGGGUGCGUAGGCGGUCUAGUAAGUCAGUGGUGUAAUGGCAACGCUUAACGUUGUCCGGCUAUUGAAACUGCUAAACUUGAGUUAGAUAGAGGCGAGUGGAAUUCCAUGUGUAGCGGUAAAAUGCGUAAAUAUAUGGAGGAACACCAGAGGCGUAGGCGGCUCGCUGGGUCUUAACUGACGCUGAGGCACGAAAGCGUGGGGAGCAAACAGGAUUAGAUACCCUGGUAGUCCACGCCGUAAACGAUGAGUACUAAGUGUCGGGUUAAACCGGUACUGAAGUUAACACAUUAAGUACUCCGCCUGAGUAGUACGUACGCAAGUAUGAAACUUAAAGGAAUUGACGGGACUCCGCACAAGCGGUGGAUCAUGUUGUUUAAUUCGAAGAUACCCGAAAAACCUUACCAGGUCUUGACAUGUUUUUGCAAAAUGAUAGUAAUAUCGUGGAGGUUACCAGAAACACAGGUGGUGCAUGGUUGUCGUCAGCUCGUGUCGUGAGAUGUUAGGUUAAGUCCUAAAACGAGCGAAACCCUUAUCGUUAGUUGCCAGCACGUUAUGGUGGGGACUUUAACGAGACUGCCAAUGAUAAAUUGGAGGAAGGUGAGGAUCACGUCAAAUCAGCAUGCCCCUUAUGACCUGGGCUACAAACGUGAUACAAUGGCUGUUACAAAGGGUAGCUGAAACGCAAGUUCUUGGCCAAUCCCCAAAAACAGUCCCAGUCCGGAUUGAAGUCUGCAACUCGACUUCAUGAAGUUGGAAUCGCUAGUAAUCGCGAAUCAGCAUGUCGCGGUGAAUACGUUCUCGGGGUUUGUACACACCGCCCGUCAAACCACGAAAGUUGGCAAUACCCCAAAACGGUAGCCUAACUCGUUUAUUCGAGAGGGCGCCGUCUAAGGUAGGGUCGAUGAUUGGGGUUAAGUCGUAACAAGGUAUCCCUACCGGAAGGUGGGGAUGGAUCACCUCCUUUCUAAGGAAACCAAUAAAAUCAAUCAUCUUCAGUUUUGAAAGACUUAGGCAACUAAGUUUUUCUUCGUGACUUCACGAAGGGCCUAUAGCUCAGUUGGUUAGAGCACACGCCUGAUAAGCGUGAGGUCGGUGGUUCAAGUCCAUUUAGGCCCACCAGAGUUAUAGGUUUCGUAAGAACACAAAUUCUUUGAAAAUUAGGUAAAUAAUAGUUAUUUAUCCGGAACAUUAAAGGAAAUAAGAGCGCACAGUGGAUGCCUAGGCUCCAAGAGCCGAUGAAGGACGCAAUCGCCCCUUAAAGUAGGCGAG
Molecule: ribosomal RNA, 1829 nt
Filed under: Candidatus Phytoplasma citri
Lineage: Bacteria; Bacillati; Mycoplasmatota; Mollicutes; Acholeplasmatales; Acholeplasmataceae
Also listed under: 1 other name
Description: bacterial SSU rRNA
Rfam family: Bacterial small subunit ribosomal RNA (bases 1-1524)
Source: RNAcentral